AUGCCAUCUGGGUGCCUCCAGGUGCCAUCAGACAGCAUUUCUCAGCCCUCAGUGCCAUCUGGGCGCCUCCAGGUGCCAUCUGGGCUCCAUCAGAUGCCAUUUCAUGGCCCCCGGUGCCAUCUGGGCGCCUCCAGGUGCCAUCUGGGUUCCAUCAGAUGCCAUUUCUUGGCCAUCAACGCCAUCCAGGUGCCAUCAGACAGCAUUUCUCAGCCCUCAGUGCCAUCCGGGCGCCUCCAGGUGCCAUCUGAGUUCCAUCAGACGCCAUUUCUUGACC
Meleagris gallopavo (turkey) is the source of this 274-nucleotide non-coding RNA. Lineage: Eukaryota; Metazoa; Chordata; Aves; Galliformes; Phasianidae. The record is from RefSeq and is a predicted model, not a curated record.